RNAcentral lists this long non-coding RNA (818 nucleotides) under Homo sapiens (human). RNAcentral describes it as "HSALNT0184028". Lineage: Eukaryota; Metazoa; Chordata; Mammalia; Primates; Hominidae. The record is from RNAcentral.
AUGACACUACCCUGGCACCAUGGUGAGCCACACAGCUUCCAGACAUCAAACAUGUGCCAUGACUUGGGAGUGGGGAAGAAGCUACUCAGAGCUGUGGGUCAUUAUGCCUUAGCUUCAGCUACACAUCCUCUCACUAGCAUCUGUAGCAGAAGACUGCAGAGUGCAGACAGAAGAGUGCCUUUCUAGAGAAGGGUGAGAGAAUGUCUUUCUAGUGGGGUUUAGUGGUCAGACAGACAGGAGGUAGAGCUUUGGGGAGGCUCGUGUAGAUGGCCUCAGCACCAACUAAUGAGCAACCAAGAGCACUGUUCACACUAUCUCCCUCUGGGUUUGCCAGCAACAAAGAAAACCUGAGUGGUAGGAAAUAAUUGGUAUUUCUCAGCUGAAAAGCCUGAACAAGUCAAAGAUAAUUUUUUUGACCUGGAUGAUUGUCUCUUGACUUGCUGGGGAAUCCUUCUCCCUGAAGGAGGAAGGCAGAAAGAGACGUUGGAAUAAUUUGGAGGCAUUCAUAAUGCAGAUUGGAAGAGGAAGCAAGGCCUAGCAAUAGAUGCCAAACUUAGAACUUCAAAGCACAUAGUUCUGGUUUGGGUCACCUCUCACCGUCUGCUGAGGACUAUAUCAGCAACUCACUUGCUUGGGAGUGAGAUGAAGUAUGUGAAUUGCCCUGGGAUUUUUCCCAGCUGAUGAGCUUUGUUUUGACCCUCAGCAUAACGUCUACGCCCUUUCUUCAUCUUUUCUUUAACUCCUUUCAUCUGAUUCCUUUGACACUUUACCAUGCAAUCUUGAACAUGUUCUUCUAUAGGGAUGCUUCUAUAGGGAUA